This 497-nucleotide ribosomal RNA is filed under the name uncultured bacterium. RNAcentral describes it as "partial 16S ribosomal RNA". It matches the Rfam family "Bacterial small subunit ribosomal RNA", at positions 28 to 507 of the family's 1533-position model. The record is from RNAcentral.
GACGAACGCUGGCGGCGUGCCUAAUACAUGCAAGUCGAACGCUGAAGAGAGGAGCUUGCUCUUCUUGGAUGAGUUGCGAACGGGUGAGUAACGCGUAGGUAACCUGCCUGGUAGCGGGGGAUAACUAUUGGAAACGAUAGCUAAUACCGCAUAACAACAGUUGUUGCAUGACAGCUGGUUAAAAGAUGCAAUUGCAUCACUACCAGAUGGACCUGCGUUGUAUUAGCUAGUUGGUGAGGUAACGGCGCACCAAGGCGACGAUACAGAGCCGACCUGAGAGGGUGGGCGGCCACACUGGGACUGAGACCCGGCCCAGACUCCUACGGGAGGCAGCAGUAGGGAAUCUUCGGCAAUGGGGGGAACCCUGACCGAGCAACGCCGCGUGAGUGAAGAAGGUUUUCGGAUCGUAAAGCUCUGUUGUAAGAGAAGAACGGGUGUGAGAGUGGAAAGUUCACACUGUGACGGUAGCUUACCAGAAAGGGACGGCUAACUACGUG